This 5871-nucleotide long non-coding RNA is filed under the name Nicotiana tabacum (common tobacco). RNAcentral describes it as "long non-coding RNA (NTAB_LNC012862)". Lineage: Eukaryota; Viridiplantae; Streptophyta; Magnoliopsida; Solanales; Solanaceae. The record is from RNAcentral.
GAUCUCUUCCGUAUCUCCUCCUGAUGGUGCUCCUCCUCCUUCUUCUUACAAUAGCGUGCCGCCGCCUAUGGAUGAUUUUCAGUUGGCUAAGCAAAAGGCUCAGGAGAUUGCUGCUCGGCUCUUAAAUAGUGCUGAAGCUAAAAAGCCUAGAGUUGAUAAUAAUGGUUCUGGUGCUGGUGCCGGUGGAUUUGAUUCAUAUGAACGUAAGGGUAUACUUGUCUUUUUUACUGUUAUUGAUUUUGUGUUUGCCUAGUUUGUGCGUUUUGUAAGAUGAUUUUUGAAGUAACAGAUAAUUUCUCUUACUGAAAUAGAAAAAUUCAGUUUUCUACUGCUCAUUGUACUGUUAUCAUACGUUCUUAGUACUGAUGCGAUUAGUUAGCAAGGUUAGUAGGGUUUUAGAUGUAACCUCCUUGUUUAAGUGUAUAUCUUCAAUAUGAUUAUUGAUUGUUGAACAUCAACUCUGUUAUCACUAGAGAAUACAUAGGGAGGAAAUUUUUUUCUUACUUAAAUUAUUUUUCAUUGAAAAUAUAUAGGGGGAAAGGUAGUUUAGUGACUUUAUUAUAAUAAAAUAAAAAUUGAGUGACCAUCCAUGAAAUUACUGUUUUGCUCAUUGUACUAUUAUCAUUUCCCACUUUAUACCCAACCAAACACCUGGACAACAAGAUACUCCCUCUGGUCCAGUUUUAUGUGAAGCUGACUUUAAGAAAGUUCCAAAGAUUUUUGAAGCUUGUGAUCUAAAACAAGUCUUAGGAAUCUGUGUGGCUAUAAAUCAUCCAUUAAGGGUAAACGGGGAAUUUUAAGGUUAGAUUGUUUUAAAUAUAAAAAUAUGUCAUUGUUUUCCUGGAAAACAUAUUUGUUCAUACCAAAAUAGUGUUUUUAUUGGUUACCACUGAUGUGAUUAGUUUUGUAGGUAGUAUGGCUUUUGCUUUAAUCUACUGGUUUUAGGGUAUAGUUUUAAUAUGUUUAUUGAUGAUCAUUUUGAUAGUCUAUUAUAAUAUCUUGUAGAGUUGUUGGCUAUAAACCAUCUGAAUGGUGAAUUUUAAAGUUAGUUUGUUUUUAAAUAUAAAAACUUGUCAUUCUUUUGGGGAUAGACCGAAAAGGGAAAAGUAUCACAUAAAUUGGUACAGAGGGGUAUUUUUCAUGGAAAACAUAUUUGUCCAUACCAAAACAAUGUUUUUAUUGGCUACCACUGAUGUGAUUAGUUUUCUAGGUAGUACAGCUUGUGUUUUAACCUACUUGUUUUAGUGUAUAUUUUUAUAUGCUUAAUGUUGAUCAUGUUGAUAGAGUGUCAGGUCUAUCAUAAGAUCUUGUAGAGUUGUUAGACGUUUUGUUUUUUCUUGCGAGUGCAGACAAGCCGAUCGUUACUCCUUCGGUGACAAGUUCAUAUGGUUAUCCGGGGCAAAGCAAGAAGAUUGAAAUACCAAAUGGCAGAGUUGGUGUAAUUAUAGGCAAAGGUGGGGAGACUAUCAAGUAUCUUCAACUCCAGUCUGGAGCCAAGAUUCAGGUUACUAGAGACAUGGAUGCUGAUCCGAAUUCUCCAAAUAGAGCCGUUGAACUCAUGGGUACUCCAGACCAAAUAGCUAAAGCUGAGCAGUUAAUUACUGAGGUUCUUUCUGAGGUAGUACUAAUCUGUCUUACUAUACAUUGUCAAGUCUAGUAAUUCUUUUUGUUGAAUCAUAUCAAGUUUGCUUAUGCUUUUGACUAUUAUAUUUUCUGUCCUCGGUGUGUUACUUAUGAUUUAUGUAUUUGAAAUAGGCCGAUUCAGGUGGUUCUGGUCUAGUUAACCGGAGGUUACCUGGACAGCAAUCUGGAGGAGAACAAUUUUCGAUGAAAGUCCCUAACAACAAGGUGAGUUUUAGUGUUGUAGUUCGUUCAUCUUGCGGUCAGCUUUCUACUACUUGUCUCAUGUCUAUUUAUAUCUAUUUUAGGUUGGUCUUGUUAUUGGUAAAGGAGGUGAAACCAUAAAAAAUAUGCAAGCAAGAACGGGAGCUCGUAUUCAGGUAACUUUUAAUAGCUUUCCCAAAAUAGAGCUGCAGUUUUUGGUGGCAAUAGUGUUUUUUGUUGUAUGAAGAAUUCCAGUCCUUUACUUUCUAAAACAACGACCCAGUAAAAACCUUUGCUUUCUAAAAAAAAGCAUUUAUUUAUCGAGAUUUUACUUUAGCUUUCUUACCUUUCCUACCUUGUCACAGGUGAUUCCUUUGCACUUGCCUCCUGGUGAUACCUCACAAGAGAGGACAGUACAAAUUGAUGGGUCAAGUGAACAGAUUGAGGCUGCAAAGCAGCUGGUGUAUGAAGUGAUUAGUGAGGUAUGUGUAACUGGAUUGAUAUUCUUCAGUUUCUAUUCUUUCCACUUAUUAUCGUGAGAAUAUGAUAGGCAGAUGACUUUGGCGUCGAGAUGAUACAUAACCUCCUUUAAAUGUUAGAAGUAUUUAUGUUUGUAUAUUAUUUGGUGACGUAUAUCUGUAGUUUGUUAAUGUGUAUGUGGAUUUUGCAUUGUGGAAGACACUGCACUUGAUUUCUUUAGUCUUCUAAGAGCUGCUUUUGUAGUUCUCUUGAUCCCGAGUUUUUAAAUUCCUCUAUCAACAUCUUGAAAAGGCAAUAUAAUAUUAAUUUUCUCAGCAGUGGUGGAUUUCCCGACACAUCAAAAUUACAGAUUGCAUUUGUUGCUAGAGAAUCAUGAAUAACCAAUUGAGUGAUCCUAAAUCCAAAUUUAUCGGGAUGGUCAUUAUUUAUGUCUAAAAGUUUCAUGUAUGUAUAUUGCUGUUUAUUACCUAUCCGUCCUUGUCUCGCUGGAAAUUCAUAGUGUUUGCAGAUAUCAUUUUGCCAGUCUACUUUUUGGACUACAACUUCAGUUAGUGGGAAUUGUAGUUCAUUUCCAAUGAUCCCUGGACGAAGGAGAUUGGCUCUUGCUGUGCUUCAUUUUUGGAAGGAAGUACUCUUAUUCCUAACUGGACAUAUGCUUUCUAGUUUCAAAUAGGUCCUUGAGAGUAUGUUACUCCACCCUGAAAUAUAACUCCAUUAUAUUAUGGAUGAAUAGUUUGUUAUCCACAGAAUAUAUCUGUAGUGUGACAGCACCUAUCUGUGUCUCCAUUUUUUCCCAUUGGUUUAUUCUAAUUAGUUGGAUGUUGCUUGAGCAAGAGAAUGGGUUUCUAUCCGAAGGCAAUAUCAGGUUUAAGAUGGCAUAUCGAAAACUAUAGUCAUGCCUCAAUGUCUAUUGAAUUAUAUAUCGCUGGACUUUAGAUGUUUGGCUUUUUUUUUGAGGCGCAGGUUUUGGAGAAGUCUUUUUCCUUGAAGGUAACGAAGUCUGUAAAAAUUUCCCUAAUAUUGAGCGUCUAUUCUAAUCUCAGCUGUGCAACAACUCUCGGUCUGAAUUCUUAGUUAAUUCAGGGGACACCAUAUAACUAUGCUGGUUAAUUUUAUAUCUGAUCACUGAUAUUGUUAUUGAAAAAUUUGUAGGAUUAGUAGUUAUCGGACAAUGGUGACACCACCAUGAAACCAUUUAGUGUUGGUGUUCCCUCAACAUUGUUCUGGUAUGGUCUCCAACCUGAUUAUUGAUAACUUUAGUCAUAUUCUGGAGUAAAUGAGAGGCUGCUUUUGCUAGGAUGCAAGGGAGUAGACUAAGAUAUGUUGAGAUUAUCAUUAUAUCUUCUGGUUGUGUAACUUGAGAUAUUUUAUGAAUUUACCACAUAGAAGUGUUGCAAGAAACAGUAUUCGGUGUUAUUAUCUAUUGUUUAUGUUGGUAUUCAACCAGAGGACAACUUUAUUGUGCCUUAGGAUUUCUAGUGCUUUGCUUGGUUUCUUUUGAAGAAGAAAAAUCCAUCUAUUGUGUAAUUAUUGAUUAGCUGCUAGUAUCUGAUUUUGUUUGUUAUCUCCAUAAACCUUUGGCUAAUUAUUGGCUAUGAAGAUCAAACUCUCUGAGAUUAGGAGUGCUGAAAGGACUAUUAGUAUAUUAGAUCAUGUGUUCCUUGAUUGCUAGCAGUACUAUUAGAUUCUGCUUUGUUGUCUUAGUAAGACAUGUCUCAUUGUUGAAAAAUGAGUGAACUGUUGCCCUUCAUGUAUGAUGAAUCAUGUAGGAAUUUGUUUCCUGACGGUGUUAUGAAAUGACAUCAAUUGUCACUCUGUCUGGCUUUUUAUGUUUUUGGUGUACACUUGUUUUCACCUUUCAGUAUAUAUGUGAAGCCAAUGCAAGGAGUGAGGGUUCGUCUUGGAACUGCAAGAUUUGGUGCUGCUGCUGUGCAAAAACACAUUUAUUCUUUAUUCUUGAUAUUGUAGUUCAUGGCUUGUCUAAUUUGUGUAUCAUUUUAGAACUUUAAAAGGUUCUCAUUAAGGGUAACAUGAAUAGUUUAAAGUUGAAUUAUUUCCAAUUGUAGAAAUGCAUCACUCUUUUUGGAAUGGACUAAUAAGGAAAGUGUGUCAUCUAAAUUGAAACGGAGGGAGUAUUAAAAUGGAGUUGGUAUAUAAAUUUGGAUACUCCUUGUCAAUAUAAUAUAUAAUUUGAAUACUCUGCUGAUGACAUAAUGAACAGACUCAUCUUUUAGUAUUGGCAAGUCACCCAGGCUUUUAAUGCUAUAUUCUUCAAAAAUAGUGGUAUCUUGCCAUCUUAAGAGUUAUUUUGCCUACAUAUAGAAUGUGUAUACUUUUUUCUCUCUGCUUUGGUAUCCUUCACUUCAAAUAGGGUGAGGAUGGGCAUCUGCCAGGAGUUUGUACCUCCCAACCAGUAAGUCUACAUCUGUCUUGAUGCAUACAUAAUAUCAAUUGUUAAAUGUUGUGGUAUUUGGUAUUUGCUACUGUUUUAUCUGCUAUGUUUAUGUUACCUGGCUGUGAGUUACCUACUUACGUUAAUAUGUGAAUUAUCUUUAUAUGCCAAGAUCAAUCAUUUUUGGUUAAUUUAGACAGUAAUUCUUGUGCAGAAUCGUGCUAGGAAUCCAGGAAUGGGUGGAGGAUAUCAACAAGGUUAUCAGGCUCGACCUCCUACAAGCUGGGCCCCUCCUGGUGCCCCAAUGCAGCAACCUGGCUAUGGAUAUGUUCAGCCUGGCGCAUACCCUGGUCCAUCCCCCCAAUAUAACACAUCUCAACAACCUUACCCUGGCUACCCUCCUCAACCUGCCUCUGCUGGAUAUGCCUCUGGCUGGGAUCAGACUGCUGCCCAAAAUCAACAAUCUCAGGGAGUUGGUUAUGAUUACUACAACCAGCAGGCCCCACCACAGCAGCAACAAACUCCUGGAGGCACAGCUGCUUCAACUGAUAAUAGUGCCUAUGGUUACAACCAGCAAUCAGCCUCGGGUUACAGCCAAGGACAAGCUUAUUCCCAAGAUGGCUAUGGUGGAUAUCAUGCACCUGCACCUCAAUCUGGUUAUCAGGGCACUGGUUAUGAGCAGCAACAGGGUUAUAGCUCUGCAGCUGGUUAUGGGAAUGCCUCAAACCCAACAUCAGAUGGCCAGAAUUCUUCAUAUGGUACACAAGGCGAUGGGAGUCAAGCACCUCCACCAGUUCAGUCAUCAGCCACGGGCCAACAAGGUAGUUACCCAUCUCAGGGCUCUACUCAGGCAGGCUAUGGGAUGCCACCAACUUCUCAAGGUUGGUAUGGGACACCGCCACCUGCAGGCUAUGCUGCGAGCUAUGGGGCCCCACAGACUCAAAAGCCUUCUCCUAGUCAGCCAGCUUAUGGUCAGCCACAGCAGUCUCCUAGCGCGCAAGGUGGUUAUGCCCAGCCUCCCCCAGCACAGCCUGGGUAUCCACAACCAGCUGCUCAAUCAGGCUAUGCUCAGCCUGAUUCUGGCACUCAGCGACCUCCUGCUUCUGGCUAUGGUGCUCCAACAGCUCAGCCUGGUUAUGGUGCCCCACCUUAUGGGGCUCCACCUAGUUAUGGCC